Drosophila persimilis is the source of this 4636-nucleotide long non-coding RNA. RefSeq lists it as uncharacterized. Lineage: Eukaryota; Metazoa; Arthropoda; Insecta; Diptera; Drosophilidae. The transcript is spliced from 19 exons. The record is from RefSeq and is a predicted model, not a curated record.
AAGGCCGUUUUGAAGCCCAACUGUGGCCCACAACUCCGCCCUGCCUCAGCCAGACCACCAGAUCGGCCAGGUGGAUCUUAGCCGACCAGAUCUUAGCUCGAAUCUGAAGAAAACCAAGCUGUAUGAGGCCUCGACGGCGGGGUUGAUGCAAGCACAUAAACGGAGCAGGGCGUGGUGUCUAUGAUGAGCUUCCAUCUGCGUCGCAAAAAGGGACUGGACCAAACCCUGGCGGCCAAGCUUACACCAGAGGAGUACGUCAAGGAUACUCAUGCCGUGCCCGGGCUGCCGGAGCUGCUGGAUCCUGCAUUCCCAACAAGACACGUCUGGACAGAGUAUGCGCCACUACGGCAGUGCAAGGGCAUCCGCCACUUGCAGGCUUUGUACGUGUCCCACCUGCACGCGGAUCAUCACAUUGGAUUGAUUGGACUGCUGAAGGAGCGCAGACAGCUGGCCCCGAAGGAAACUCGCUGCUCUUACUUGCGCCGCGGAAGAUCGAGCCAUGGAUGGAGUUCUAACACGGAUAGCUCUUGGCGAGACUCCUGACUGGAGAGGCAGUGGCACCAUUGGGCAUAACUGCCGCCACUGCCAAGUCACCAGUAGGAACUGCCAAGCCGCCAGUACGAACAGCUGCUUAAAAUCUUGCGAGACGCUUGGCGAUGCUGUGGAUGAUCGAGUUCAGCCCAACAAUCAACAGUUACGGAAUGAGAGGAGCAGCAGCAGGGCAAGAAGGAUGCCGAUCAGGAUUUCUACUAAAACCAGGACAGUUCGGCCAACUCGUUGCAGUCCUCGGUGGGCAUUGAUGACUAUUGGGAUGAGGCUCUGGUCGGCGACUAUGGAAGCACUCAGAAUGAUGACAGCGAUGACUUGGACGGGCACAACAACUAGCCACCUAUCGAUGGGCAGCAAGGAAAAGAACCCGGCCGCAACGAGUUGCGUUACUAUUGGCGAUCAAGAGAUCAUGGACUGCAAAGAACAAUUCGACAAGCAGCGGCAGGCAACAUUACUUGGACCGAGCAGGGCAGUAAAUGUAAAAGUUGUACAGCACUAUCUUAAAAGCGUGCUCCGGCGGUCUUAAGCCUUCUGCACCAUGUUUUACAUCAUCGGUUUCGACCGGGAGCGCAGACAGCUGGCCCCGAAGGAAACUCGUUGCUCUUACUUGCGCCGCGGCAGAUCGAGCCAUGGAUGGAGUUCUAACACGGAUAGCUCUUGGCGAGACUCCUGACUGCAGAGGCAGUGGCACCAUUGGGCAUAACUGCCGCCACUGCCAAGUCACCAGUAGGAACUGCCAAGCCGCCAGUGCGAACAGCUGCUUAAAAUCUUGCGAGACGCUUGGCGAUGCUGUGGAUGAUCGAGUUCAGCCCAACAAUCAACAGUUACGGAAUGAGAGGAGCAGCAGCAGGGCAAGAAGGAUGCCGAUCAGGAUUUGUACUAAAACCAGGACAGUUCGGCUAACUCGUCGCAGUCCUCGGUGGGCAUUGAUGACUAUUUGGAUGAGGCUCUGGUCGACGACUAUGGAAGCACUCAGAAUGAUGACAGCGAUGACUUGGAUGGGCACAACAACUAGCCACCUAUCGAUGGGCAGCAAGGAAAAGAACACGGCCGCAACGAGUUGCGUUACUAUUGGCGAUCAAGAGAUCAUAGACUGCAAAGAACAAUUCGACAAGCAGCGGCAGGCAACAAUACUUGGGCCGAGCAGGGCAGUAAAUGUAAAAGUUGUACAGCACUAUCUUAAAAGCGUGCUCCGGCGGUCUUAAGCCUUCUGCACCAUGUUUUACAUCAUCGGUUUCGACCGGGAGCGCAGACAGCUGGCCCCGAAGGAAACUCGCUGCUCUUACUUGCGCCGCGGCAGAUCGAGCCAUGGAUGGAGUUCUAACACGGAUAGCUCUUGGCGAGACUCCUGACUGCAGAGGCAGUGGCACCAUUGGGCAUAACUGCCGCCACUGCCAAGUCACCAGUAGGAACUGCCAAGCCGCCAGUGCGAACAGCUGCUUAAAAUCUUGCGAGACGCUUGGCGAUGCUGUGGAUGAUCGAGUUCAGCCCAACAAUCAACAGUUACGGAAUGAGAGGAGCAGCAGCAGGGCAAGAAGGAUGCCGAUCAGGAUUUCUACUAAAACCAGGACAGUUCGGCCAACUCGUCGCAGUCCUCGGUGGGCAUUGAUGACUAUUGGGAUGAGGCUCUGGUCGGCGACUAUGGAAGCACUCAGAAUGAUGACAGCGAUGACUUGGAUGGGCACAACAACUAGCCACCUAUCGAUGGGCAGCAAGGAAAAGAACCCGGCCGCAACGAGUUGCGUUACUAUUGGCGAUCAAGAGAUCAUGGACUGCAAAGAACAAUUCGACAAGCAGCGGCAGGCAACAUUACUUGGGCCGAGCAGGGCAGUAAAUGUAAAAGUUGUUCUGCACUAUCUUAAAAGCGUGCUCCGGCGGUCUUAAGCCUUCUGCACCAUGUUUUACAUCAUCGGUUUCGACCGGGAGCGCAGACAGCUGGCCCCAAAGGAAACUCGCUACUCUUACUUGCGCCGCGGCAGAUCGAGCCAUGGAUGGAGUUCUAACACGGAUAGCUCUUGGCGAGACUCCUGACUGGAGAGGCAGUGGCACCAUUGGGCAUAACUGCCGCCACUGCCAAGUCACCAGUAGGAACUGCCAAGCCGCCAGUACGAACAGCUGCUUAAAAUCUUGCAAGACGCUUGGCGAUGCUGUGGAUGAUCGACUUCAGCCCAACAAUCAACCGUUGCGGAAUGAGAGGAGAAGCAGCAAGGCAAGAAGGAUGCCGAUCAGGAUUUCUACUAAAACCAGGACAGUUCGGCUAACUCGUCGCAGUCCUCGGUGGGCAUUGAUGACUAUUGGGAUGAGGCUCUGGUCGGCGACUAUGGAAGCACUCAGAAUGAUGACAGCGAUGACUUGGAUGGGCACAACAACUAGCCACCUAUCGAUGGGCAGCAAGGAAAAGAACCCGGCCGCAACGAGUUGCGUUACUAUUGGCGAUCAAGAGAUCAUGGACUGCAAAGAACAAUUCGACAAGCAGCGGCAGGCAACAUUACUUGGGCCGAGCAGGGCAGUAAAUGUAAAAGUUGUACAGCACUACCUUAAAAGCGUGCUCCGGCGGUCUUAAGCCUUCUGCACCAUGUUUUACAUCAUCGGUUUCGACCGGGAGCGCAGACAGCUGGCCCCGAAGGAAACUCGCUGCUCUUACUUGCGCCGCGGCAGAUCGAGCCAUGGAUGGAGUUCUAACACGGAUAGCUCUUGGCGAGACUCCUGACUGCAGAGGCAGUGGCACCAUUGGGCAUAACUGCCGCCACUGCCAAGUCACCAGUAGGAACUGCCAAGCCGCCAGUACGAACAGCUGCUUAAAAUCUUGCAAGACGCUUGGCGAUGCUGUGGAUGAUCGACUUCAGCCCAACAAUCAACCGUUGCGGAAUGAGAGGAGAAGCAGCAAGGCAAGAAGGAUGCCGAUCAGGAUUUCUACUAAAACCAGGACAGUUCGGCUAACUCGUCGCAGUCCUCGGUGGGCAUUGAUGACUAUUGGGAUGAGGCUCUGGUCGACGACUAUGGAAGCACUCAGAAUGAUGACAGCGAUGACUUGGAUGGUCACAACAACUAGCCACCUAUCGAUGGGCAGCAAGGAAAAGAACCCGGCCGCAACGAGUUGCGUUACUAUUGGCGAUCAAGAGAUCAUGGACUGCAAAGAACAAUUCGACAAGCAGCGGCAGGCAACAUUACUUGGGCCGAGCAGGGCAGUAAAUGUAAAAGUUGUACAGCACUACCUUAAAAGCGUGCUCCGGCGGUCUUAAGCCUUCUGCACCAUGUUUUACAUCAUCGGUUUCGACCGGCUCCAGUGGCCAAAAAAGUGCUAUAGAGCGAUCCCCUCUUCUUACCCCACCAGGAGGUCACCCCCUCCGGUGGCCAUGAAUACCUCUUGCAUGCCCGUGGAUACCGAAUUACCCACCAUCGUUUAACUGGGGCUUCACACUUCAGGUCCUCCGGUUUAGCUGAACGAGUGGGCGCUCGAUGACGGCUGUCCACUCCAGGCGCCUACCGGCUGACAUCGCGAGCUCCCCACCGGCUCUUGGGACAUGACUUACAUCGCGCGAGCUGUGGCCUCUAGCCUGGACGACCUUUGGGUCCUCUCGGGAUGUGUAAGGGAUGUGCUCCUGGCUGGACUGUGGCAGGCACUGUCUGUCCUCCUGCGGGCCAAAGCCAUGAUGCCACUACUGUGUCGCUGAAUCGACAAUGUGGCGUCCCGUCCGCUGCAGCAGGGACCACUGAUCGACGGCAGAAUUGAGGGUUCACGCCCACGGUAAUCAAACGCUGGUCUUCAGCCUCGAGGCGCAGGGCUUAUGUACCCUAUCCAAGCAUUACCGAAUCGUAUCCCAGCAGGACAAAAGCGCACCCCUUGCAAGAGCCCAAAUCUAACAAGCCGACGUCACAUUUCGACCUGGCCAUUGAAAACUAUCUCAAGGACUUUGGCUAUGGCAACCAAGGAUACGCGGACUAUCAGACUAUAGAUAGAUCUCGUUGUUAAUAGGUUUAAGGAUACACACGUCUGUACAUUUAGAUAGUAGAUAUAAAUAUUUCCAAAUUGUUAAUUUCUUUAUAGUAAGUUAACGUUAUGAUGAAUAAAACUAUUGAAAAAUUA